GGCGUCAUUAUGUAAUGGAUCGGGCACGCGCUUCUGGAAAGAGUGAGGCGCGGGUUCUAGUCCCGCCUGACGCCA
Molecule: non-coding RNA, 75 nt
Organism: Parelaphostrongylus tenuis
Lineage: Eukaryota; Metazoa; Nematoda; Chromadorea; Rhabditida; Metastrongylidae
Source: the annotation of a GenBank genome assembly